UGGGGAAUUUUGGACAAUGGGGGAAACCCUGAUCCAGCCAUCCCGCGUGUGCGAUGAAGGCCUUCGGGUUGUAAAGCACUUUUGGCAGGAAAGAAACGUCGCGGGUUAAUACCCCGCGAAACUGACGGUACCUGCAGAAUAAGCACCGGCUAACUACGUGCCAGCAGCCGCGGUAAUACGUAGGGUGCAAGCGUUAAUCGGAAUUACUGGGCGUAAAGCGUGCGCAGGCGGUUCGGAAAGAAAGAUGUGAAAUCCCAGAGCUUAACUUUGGAACUGCAUUUUUUAACUACCGGGCUAGAGUGUGUCAGAGGGAGGUGGGAUUCCGCGUGUAGCAGUGAAAUGCGUAGAUAUGCGGAGGAACACCGAUGGCGAAGGCAGCCUCCUGGGAUAACACUGACGCUCAUGCACGAAAGCGUGGGGAGCAAACAGGAUUAGAUACCCUGGUAGUCCACGCCCUAAACGAUGUCAACUAGCUGUUGGGGGCCUUCGGGCCUUGGUAGCGCAGCUAACGCGUGAAGUUGACCGCCUGGGGAGUACGGUCGCAAGAUU
Molecule: ribosomal RNA, 549 nt
Filed under: uncultured bacterium
Lineage: Bacteria
Description: partial 16S ribosomal RNA
Rfam family: Bacterial small subunit ribosomal RNA
Source: RNAcentral